GGUAAGGUGGUCGAGUAGGCGGCGGGUUGUAACCCCGAGGACAGAGGUUAAAGUCCUCUUCUUACCA
RNAcentral lists this transfer RNA (67 nucleotides) under Breviceps adspersus (bushveld rain frog). RNAcentral describes it as "tRNA-Tyr". It matches the Rfam family "tRNA". Rfam says of the family: Transfer RNA (tRNA) molecules are approximately 80 nucleotides in length. Their secondary structure includes four short double-helical elements and three loops (D, anti-codon, and T loops). Further hydrogen bonds mediate the characteristic L-shaped molecular structure. tRNAs have two regions of fundamental functional importance: the anti-codon, which is responsible for specific mRNA codon recognition, and the 3' end, to which the tRNAs corresponding amino acid is attached (by aminoacyl-tRNA synthetases). tRNAs cope with the degeneracy of the genetic code in two manners: having more than one tRNA (with a specific anti-codon) for a particular amino acid; and 'wobble' base-pairing, i.e. permitting non-standard base-pairing at the 3rd anti-codon position. Lineage: Eukaryota; Metazoa; Chordata; Amphibia; Anura; Brevicipitidae. The record is from RNAcentral.